This 255-nucleotide ribosomal RNA is filed under the name uncultured bacterium. Its description in RNAcentral is "partial 16S ribosomal RNA". It matches the Rfam family "Bacterial small subunit ribosomal RNA", at positions 524 to 776 of the family's 1533-position model. The record is from RNAcentral.
UACGUAGGGUGCAAGCGUUAUCCGGAAUUAUUGGGCGUAAAGAGCUCGUAGGCGGUUUGUCGCGUCUGCUGUGAAAACCCGAGGCUCAACCUCGGGCCUGCAGUGGGUACGGGCAGACUAGAGUGCGGUAGGGGAGAUUGGAAUUCCUGGUGUAGCGGUGAAAUGCGCAGAUAUCGGGAAGAACACCCGUGGCGAAGGCGGGUUCUCUGGGACGGUACUGACGCUGGAGACGCGAAAGCGUGGGGAGCGAACAGG